CACGGGCGCCCGACAUGAGAGAGGGAGUGACCUUAACGUUAGCAGAAAUCAGACAGCGCUGAUCAAACGCUGGCUCUGAGGACGGACAUCACUGACACACAACAACAGGAAAGAGGGAAACCAUUUCAAGUGUGCAGACGUUCAUGGUUCAACUACACUCACCAGGAACUCAGGUUGGAUUCAGGGUCGUCUUUGGCCCUGAGGCCUCAGAAUGAACGGGUUCUGCUCCUCCUGUGGCUCAUCACUCAGCACAGCAUCAAG
Long non-coding RNA from Betta splendens (Siamese fighting fish), 261 nucleotides. RefSeq lists it as uncharacterized. The record is from RefSeq and is a predicted model, not a curated record. Lineage: Eukaryota; Metazoa; Chordata; Actinopteri; Anabantiformes; Osphronemidae. The transcript is spliced from 3 exons.